AUUGGUCAUUGAAUAACUCUCAUUUCAUUUGAUGAAACUGCCUAUGUUGUAUGUAGGUCAACCUCAAGUGUUGCUAGUGUGAGGGCUUGUAUAUUUACUAUUUUGGUGACACUAAUUAUCAGCUUAUAUUUAAUAGGUGAAGCACAAUUCAUUGGAGCUUAUUGAAGAGGGUAGCUAGAGAACUAACUUGGGAUACUUCUCGGCUUAGUCUUAUUUAUUUUCUCAUUCAUCAAUGUAUUGGAUCACAAAUAUUGCUCAUGAACUAGUGAUUGAUCUCUUUAUUUCAAUUUUCUUAUUCAAGACUUUGUAAGGAAUAUCAGACAAUUACGGACAUCAACUACUAGGAUUUAGGUAGCCAGGCAUUGAGCAAAUUUGUUAAGAGAUUGAAUAUUUUGAUUUCUCAUUGGGAAAGGGUGUGAGGAGCUUGUAAGUAAGUUCAGAUUUCAUUACCUCUACUCACACCAUUGAAAUUUAGAACUUAAUCCAAGGCUUUGGUGUAUCCCAAAAUUCACAAGAAUUAAAGAAGCAAAUUUGUGUAGCCCCAGAUCCAACA
This is a long non-coding RNA of Arachis duranensis, 553 nucleotides long. RefSeq lists it as uncharacterized. The record is from RefSeq and is a predicted model, not a curated record. NCBI's taxonomy places the organism in Eukaryota, Viridiplantae, Streptophyta, Magnoliopsida, Fabales, Fabaceae. The transcript is spliced from 2 exons.